GUGAACGCUGGCGGUAGGCCUAACACAUGCAAGUCGAACGGCAGCACCGUAAGAGCUUGCUCUUACGGGUGGCGAGUGGCGGACGGGUGAGGAAUACAUCGGAAUCUACUUUUUCGUGGGGGAUAACGUAGGGAAACUUACGCUAAUACCGCAUACGACCUACGGGUGAAAGCAGGGGAUCUUCGGACCUUGCGCGAUUGCAUGAGCCGAUGUCGGAUUAGCUAGUUGGCGGGGUAAAGGCCCACCAAGGCGACGAUCCGUAGCUGGUCUGAGAGGAUGAUCAGCCACACUGGAACUGAGACACGGUCCAGACUCCUACGGGAGGCAGCAGUGGGGAAUAUUGGACAAUGGGCGCAAGCCUGAUCCAGCCAUACCGCGUGGGUGAAGAAGGCCUUCGGGUUGUAAAGCCCUUUUGUUGGGAAAGAAAAGCAGCAGGUUAAUACCCCGCUGUUCUGACGGUACCCAAAGAAUAAGCACCGGCUAACUUCGUG
Molecule: ribosomal RNA, 491 nt
Filed under: uncultured bacterium
Lineage: Bacteria
Description: partial 16S ribosomal RNA
Rfam family: Bacterial small subunit ribosomal RNA
Source: RNAcentral